Molecule: ribosomal RNA, 550 nt
Filed under: uncultured bacterium
Lineage: Bacteria
Description: bacterial SSU rRNA
Rfam family: Bacterial small subunit ribosomal RNA
Source: RNAcentral
UAGGGAAUCUUCCGCAAUGGGCGAAAGCCNGACGGAGCAACGCCGCGUGAGUGAUGAAGGUCUUCGGAUCGUAAAACUCUGUUAUUAGGGAAGAACAUAUGUGUAAGUAACCGUGCACAUCUUGACGGUACGUAAUCAGAAAGCCACGGCCAAAUACGUACCAGCAGCCGCGGUAAUACGUAGGUGGCAAGCGUUUUCCGGAAUUAUUGGGCCUAAAGCGCGCGUCGGCGGUUUUUUAAGUCUGAUGUGAAAGCCCCCGGUUCAACCGUGGAGGGUCAUUGGAAACUGGAAAACUCGAGUGCAGAAGAGGAAAGUGGAAUUCCAUGUGUAGCGGUGAAAUGCGCAGAGAUAUGGAGGAACACCAGUGGCGAAGGCGACUUUGUGGUCUGUAACUGACGCUGAUGUGCGAAAGCGUGGGGAUCAAACAGGAUUAGAUACCCUGGUCGUUCUCGCCGUAAACGAUGAGUGCUAAGUGUUAGGGGGUUUCCGCCCCCUAUUGCUGCAGCUAACGCAUUAAGCACUCCGCCUGGGGAGUACGACCGCAAGGUUG